This 207-nucleotide ribosomal RNA is filed under the name uncultured bacterium. RNAcentral describes it as "partial 16S ribosomal RNA". It matches the Rfam family "Bacterial small subunit ribosomal RNA", at positions 568 to 774 of the family's 1533-position model. The record is from RNAcentral.
CGCGCAGGCGGGUUAACAAGUCAGAGGUGAAAUCCUACAGCUUAACUGUAGAACUGCCUUUGAAACUGUUAAUCUUGAGUGCGGAAGAGAGAGACGGAAUUCCAGGUGUAGCGGUGAAAUGCGUAGAUAUCUGGAAGAACACCAGUUGCGAAGGCGGUCUCUUGGUCCGUUACUGACGCUCAGGCGCGAAAGCGUGGGGAGCAAACA